AAGGAUCAUUACAGAGCGAUCGCCCCCCCGGGGGCGACCCUCCCACCCUUUGCUAUACAUUGCCCUUGUUGCUUUGGCGGGCCGCCGCAAGGCCACCGGCUCCGGCUGGUGCGCGCCCGCCAGAGGACCCCAAACCCUGCCUUACAGUGUCGUCCGAGUACUAUACAAUAGUUAAAACUUUCAACAACGGAUCUCUUGGUUCUGGCAUCGAUGAAGAACGCAGCGAAAUGCGAUAAUUAAUGUGAAUUGCAGAAUUUAGUGAAUCAUCGAAUCUUUGAACGCACAUUGCGCCCCUUGGUAUUCCGGGGGGCAUGCCUGUUCGAGCGUCAUUUCAACCCUCAAGCUCUGCUUGGUCUUGGGCCGCGCCGGCGACGGCGGGCCUCAAAAACAGUGGCGGCGCCAUCGGUUCCCUCAGCGUAGUAACUCUUCUCGCUGCUGGGCCCCGGUGGCCGCUGGCCAGCAACCCCCAAACUUUCUUAUGGUUGACCUCGGAUCAGGUAGGGAUACCCGCUGAACUUAA
This 520-nucleotide ribosomal RNA is filed under the name Lanzia pteridiicola. Its description in RNAcentral is "eukaryotic LSU rRNA". The stretch from base 176 to 329 matches the Rfam family "5.8S ribosomal RNA". The record is from RNAcentral. Lineage: Eukaryota; Fungi; Ascomycota; Leotiomycetes; Helotiales; Rutstroemiaceae.